GCAGCAUCAACGCCAGGACCACUUUCAUCUCCGCCAUGGCGAACGCCUGCCCGAUGCAGUUCCUGCAGGCGGGAGUGGGGACUGUGACUGUGCCCAAGACCCGCAUUUGGGUCCCAUCAACCCAGGAACCUGGCCUGGGACCCCCAACUGCACCCAGCUCAGCCUGAGAGAGAGAGAGAAAGACUAAGCGUGCCUGGGACUCCCAUGUGGGCUUGUAUGUCCCGGAGACUGGGCCUGACUCCAGCUCCCAGCUCAGACCAGCAGAUGGAGAAGGGGAUUUUGAGCACUCCGCGGACCCCUCUAGGACCUACUCAUCCCCAUUCUAUGGACGUUUUCCCAUAAACUGUGAAGGAAUGGAGGGAAGGAGAGCUGGAACUGGGACCAUCUGCAACGUCCCCCUUUUUUUAACUCCCGCACCCAUCAUCCCAUCCCUGCCUCAGACACAGGGCGCUCUUACCUGGGCCCUGCGGAGAAAGGAAUAAAAGCCAGAGGUGACCUCCCCUUGCUGUUCUCUGGGUCAAAGCGGAAGGGGUCGUAGACCUGCAGGAUCGCGGUCCUUCAGAAGCUCUUGCACCUCCUGUCGGCAGCGCUCCUGGUAUUCUGGGUGCCUCGCAAGGUUGUACAGGACCCAGGAGAGGCCACUGGCCGUGGUGUCAUGGCCUGAGGAGCAGCCAGAUCAUAGAGAAACCUACCUUGCUCAGCAGAAGCACAUCAAUGAAAUCCAAAGUCUUGG
RNAcentral lists this long non-coding RNA (733 nucleotides) under Homo sapiens (human). Its description in RNAcentral is "HSALNT0256337". The record is from RNAcentral. Lineage: Eukaryota; Metazoa; Chordata; Mammalia; Primates; Hominidae.